CGCGGGUUAGGCCGAAACGGCGUCGUUUUGGUGCCAGAGUGGCCUGCCCAAAACGGCGUCGUUUUGAAGGCCUAUUUAAAUGAAAAAAUUUUCAGAAUCUUCAUUUCAGCCAUUCUUCAAAUAAUUUUUUUGCCUUUUUCUCUCAAUUAUCUUUCUUCUCUGCCGUUGCCCAGAAUCCGGCCAUCGGCCACUGUGGCAGCCGCCGAUCACCGGCGACGGCGCCGCCGUGCACGGUGGUCGGAAAUCGCCGAAAACAUUUUAACCCCCCCUUUUUUUGUGUAGAAUAUAGAUCUAGGGAUAAAAAUAUCAAAAAAUCACUCUAUGUUGCAGAUUCAAGACAUGCAAGUACUUUAC
Molecule: long non-coding RNA, 354 nt
Filed under: Gossypium barbadense (sea-island cotton)
Lineage: Eukaryota; Viridiplantae; Streptophyta; Magnoliopsida; Malvales; Malvaceae
Description: long non-coding RNA (GBAR_LNC017489)
Source: RNAcentral